This 1566-nucleotide unclassified non-coding RNA is filed under the name Leishmania donovani. Its description in RNAcentral is "gene:LdHU3.36.5610(CDS-product:hslVU_complex_prot eolytic_subunit_threonine_peptidase_Clan_T(1)_family_T1B)". Lineage: Eukaryota; Euglenozoa; Kinetoplastea; Trypanosomatida; Trypanosomatidae. The record is from RNAcentral.
CACACAAACAUACAAGCUUCAAUCAGUGAUCACAGCUUGAGAGGAUUGCGCGCGUACAGAGACUCGGACAGGAAGCAGCGAGCACAGACAACAAUCAAAUCGACUCCACGUUAUACCCCCCUCCACACACACACACACACACACACACACACACACAUCCUUUAGCCGAGAAUGUUCCGUCGUCUUGCCACCCGCUCCACGUCCUUCGUGACGGGGGCCGCCGUGCAGGCGCGUCACACCACCAUUCUUUCUGUGCGAAAGGGCAACAAAGUAAUCCUUAUUGGGGACCGUCAGGUGACCUUGGGCGAGCGUAUUGUGGCGAAGAGUAGCGCCUGCAAGCUGCGCAAGCUCAACGACAACGUUGUAAUUGGCUUCGCCGGCAGCACGGCGGACGCUUUUGCGUUGAUGGAAAAACUGGAAAACAAGUUGAACGACUUUCCGGAGCAGCUGUCUCGCGCCGCGGUGGAGCUGGCAAAGGACUGGCGCACCGACCGCGCCCUCCGCCGCCUCGAGGCAUCCCUCAUUGUGUGCAGCAAGGAGGAGACGUUGGAGAUUGAUGGGCAGGGCAACGUAAUCACCCCUGAGGCUGACGGCAUCAUCGCCAUUGGCUCGGGUGGCACGUAUGCCAAGGCGGCGGCUCGUGCGCUUAUUGACGUUGACGGCUAUGAUGCAGAACGCAUCGCGCGCAAGGCGAUGAGGAUUGCCACCGACAUCGAUGUCUUCAGCAACAGCAACUGGGAUGUGGAGAUCUUGACGCGUGAGGAAGAAGCGGUAAAGAAGGAGGAGGCGGAGAAGGCGGAGAAGGCGCAGAAUGAGGCGCAGAGCAAGGAAUAGAGGAAGGUGUAAGAGUGUGCUCGUCUUAGCGGUUGGCGUGCAGCGUCGUCCCUUCUUUGCAGCACCAUCAGCUUUCCGUAUUGUAGCGCACGCCAGCGCACGGCCCCCGCUUCCUCGUGCAUCUCGCUACCGUGGCAGUCGCACUUCCGUGCGAACCAUUUUUUUUGUCCGUGUUCUUUGUGUUCUUCCUCUGUUGAGGUGCUGCCGGUGUUUCUGUCGUUGUUGGUAAGGCAUAACAUAAUCCCCACCCUCCCCCGGCUCUGUGGUGUCGGCUUUGAGUGCUGCUGACGCCAGCGCCGUUUCGCACCCCCGCCUGCUGGGAUCGGCGGUGAGGGUGCGGAGAACGCAAAGCGACUUCCGCGGGGCAGAAGGCGAUACCUGCAACGGCUCCGCCUAAUCAAGGAGAAGCGGUGGCGGCCACGCACAGGAUUCUGUCGCGUGCACAAAAUGUGCGGCUGUUGCACAAUCUUUCCGGCAACCGCCGUUGCUGCACACCCCCGCCCUCAUGCCCCCCUCCUCACCCACCCACCCCCACAGGCACACACGUGUAUUCUGCGUUUGUUCUCUCUUACGCUCUUCUCAUUUUUCCUCGUCACUGAACUCGCGAACCAGAGCAUCGUUGCCGCUGCUCACGCUUCGGAUUGCACCUCUCCUUUCUCUCUCUCGCUGUUUCGCUUUCCUCUCCCCCUCCCCACCCGCUUUCGCGAUCCCGCCGGCACGUAAAUGGCUUAG